Molecule: ribosomal RNA, 1401 nt
Filed under: Triticum aestivum (bread wheat)
Lineage: Eukaryota; Viridiplantae; Streptophyta; Magnoliopsida; Poales; Poaceae
Description: partial small subunit ribosomal RNA
Source: RNAcentral
AUGGCGCCGUCAUCGUCCCUCGUCAAGAAGGCUUCGCCCACGAAGCAGCGCCGCCUGCCCCGCGCUCGCCGUUCUUCACAGCACAUCACCGCUUUGAGCCCCCAGCCCGAGGCGCUCCUUGGUGCCACCCUUCAUUGGGUCGACCACAUUGUGCCGGUCUUGCAGGAGCAGGAAGACGCCGUGGUCGCAACCUCAACGGCACCCAAGACGAAUCGUGCUACUCCCUCCGACGAGACCGUGGUGGUCCACGCUGGGGAGAAGGUAGGCAGCAUGGCGGGCACAGAUUCAAUCACGACACCGAUCGUGAGCGGCACGACACACUGGUUCAAGAACUCGGACGACCUCAUCGCGUUCAAGGAAGGCAGGCGCCACAGCUUUGAGUAUGGCCGCUACGGCAACCCCACCGUGAAGGUCCUGGAGGACAAGAUCAGCGCGCUCGAGAGGGCAGAGUCCACGCUGGUCACGUCCUCCGGCAUGAACGCCAUCGUCGCCACGCUACUUGCGCUCGUGCCGCCCAGUGCCGGCCACGUGGUGACCACGACCGAGUGCUACAGCGAGGCGCGUGCCUUCAUCCGCGACAAGCUCUCUAGGUUGGGCAUCAAGGUGACAUUCGUCGAGCUGAAUGACACGGAGACGCUCAAGGCCGUUCUUGACAAGGGCGACGUGACACUCUACUACACUGACUCUCCGACGAACCCCCAUCUCAAGUGCAUCGACAUUAAGCUCGUCGCGGAGCUGUGUCACCACAAAGGGGCUCUGGUAUGCAUCGACAGCACCCUCGCCUCACCCAUCAAUCAGAAGCCUCUCACCCUGGGGGCUGACAUCGUCGUGCACUCCGCCACAAAGUACAUCGCCGGCCAUCACGACGUCAUCGCAGGAUGCAUCAGUGGCUCCGAUGCGCUCAUCUCCAGGAUAAGAGUGUGGCAUCACGACAUCGGCGGCACCAUUAGUCCCGAUGCAGCCUACAUGAUAAUACGCGGCCUCAAGACGAUGGCGCUACGUGUGGACACGCAGAACCGUACUGCGUUGCGUAUGGCGCGCCUACUCGAGAACCAUCCAAUGAUUGAGCGAGUGUACUAUCCUGGGCUCACCACCAGCCCGUGGCACCACAUCGCCAAGAGCCAGAUGACCGGUUCUGGCGGCAUCAUAAGCUUCGAGGUGGCAUCGGACCUUCACGGUGUCAUGAGGUUCAUCGAUGCUCUGGAGAUACCCUUCAUCGCGAUGUCACUCGGUGGGUGUGAGAGCCUCGUGCAGCAGCCAGCGGUCAUGUCCUUCUGGGGUCAGAGUGGCGAGGAGAAGGCCAAUAAUGGGAUUAAGGACAACUUGGUGAGGUUUAGCUUUGGGAUUGAGAAGUUUGAGGAUCUCAAGGAUGACGUUCUCCAAGCCCUCAAGAAGAUUUAG